RNAcentral lists this ribosomal RNA (323 nucleotides) under uncultured Oscillospiraceae bacterium. RNAcentral's name for it is "bacterial SSU rRNA". It matches the Rfam family "Bacterial small subunit ribosomal RNA", at positions 28 to 339 of the family's 1533-position model. The record is from RNAcentral. Lineage: Bacteria; Bacillati; Bacillota; Clostridia; Eubacteriales; Oscillospiraceae.
GAGAAACGCUGGCGGCGCACAUAAGACAUGCAAGUCGAACGGAAUUUAGUCAAAUGUUUACAUGAGACGAAGAUUUAGUGGCGGACGGGUGAGUAACACGUGAGCAACCUACCUUGAAGAGGGGGAUAACAUUGAGAAAUCAGUGCUAAUACCGCAUAACACUUUCAUACCGCAUGGUGAGAAAGUCAAAGGAGUAAUCCACUUUAAGAUGGGCUCGCGGCUGAUUAGCCAGUUGGUGGGGUAACGGCCUACCAAAGCGAUGAUCAGUAGCCGAGCUGAGAGGCACAACGGCCACAUUGGGACUGAGACACGGCCCAGACUCC